GUAGUUUCACAGCACGGACAGGCCUUGAGAGCACUGUUUCCAGAAUCCCGUUUUCUUGGGCACCUGGAUUCCAGAGGGAUAAGCUGGCCUCUGCCUAUGGCUCGGCUCCUAAAUGGGUUAUAACGGGGCUCCGGAGGGGAGGGGCCGGGAGUCUGGGUCUGAGCUGCCUCGCUCUGGUCCCGUUUCCCAGCCACAAACUGCACCCUGGCCCGGGCCCUACAUGCUGGGAGACUGCGAGACAGCAGCUCCUGGGGAUGGAUGCCAACAUCACCCCCAUUUGACAGAUGAGGAGGCCGAAGUUCCUGGAACCCCUCCCCAGCAGCCCCCAGCACCAGCUGUGAAGGCAGCGGCCGGGGUCUGGCCAGGCGGGUGUGUUCCGACAGACAGGGCCGCCCAGGACUGGGGCUCCCACUCCAGCAGUGGGAGAAAAGCCGUGGGAGAAGAGGAAGAGAGCCUGCGUGAACAGGGGCCUCCUACCAGCUGGGCCCCCACACCUGCUGGCCUCCUGGUACCUCCAGGGAGGUCCAUAGAACCUUCCAGAAUGACCCACAAAAGGACUCUGAAGAGUAUUUCACUCAUCCUUCAUGCCCUGCAUACCUGGCUGGAAAGCCCCCUCCGGACUCCCAGUCGAGUGCUCGCCCAGAACAGAAUUUUUGUUUCAUUCGGGGGGAGAAUUUUUCUAGGGGCCAGAGCUUGUCUUUUUCCUUCCACUCCCUUCUCUUUCCUCUUUUCAGUCUAGGUUUCUCACUGCUCCGGUAUGUCUCUCUCUCCAGCUGUCUCUCUGUCUCUGUCUCUGUCUCCCACCCUCCAGCCGCUGCGAUGACUCGCUUCCCUCCCCUGCGUGGCCGCAAGGCCAAGCCGAGCUCCCAUCGGGCUCCCUUAGCCUCCAAAGGCGCCUGUGCAGGCAGCACCUGCCUCCUGACCUUCCCACCGCAGCCCGGGGGCUGCACCUGGGGGGCAGCCGGGGCUUUGUUCCCCCCUUUCUGGAAGGACAGGACGCUCCAGCCCCUCCGGCUUCCUGCUCCCGCCUGGCUGGCGGAGUUGAGAGCCGGCUGCAGAGCUGGGAGCCAGGCAGCAGCAUACAGAACAAACAGAAUUUUUUUUUGCAACUAGAGGGGGAAGCACAGAGCUAAAAAUAAAACGAAAAGAUCAGUAUCUGUCAGUCUGACAGCUGAUUGGCUGCUCGGAGAUGCAUAUAAUUACCAGCAACUGGCGCUGGGUAGGCAAAGCCGGGAGAAACUGCUGAGACGAGGUUAGGAUUUAACCUUUAAAUUCUGGAGCCACCGGAAGCCGAGGGGAGGACGACGGGCGUCGGCGCUAAUGAGGCUGGGGGUGGGCGGCGGGGCGGUGGGCCGCCGAGUCGGGGCAGGUCCCGGGGCGCCUCCGGGAGGGCCCUGGGCGCCCUCCGCCCCGGCUGCCUCCCCCAUCAGACUGGGCGUGCGUCUGAUUGGGCGGCCGGAGGUAGUGUCCUUCUCCCCGCCCAGCUGGGGGGCGGUGUCUUCCGGGAAGUCAGGGUCUCACCCCGAGGGAGUGAGGGGGCUGCCUGGGGCCCUGGGGCCCUUCCAGGCCGGCCUCCUGGAGAGGCGCACCCCAACCCCACCCACAUUCCUCCGCCUUUCCCUGCCUGGUGUGGGCUUCCGCCAGCCGUCCCCGCUCCCCUCCUUCCUUCACCCCAAGUCACCCCGCUCCUGGCUGUUUCCUGCCCGGCCUGGGGAGGGCAUCUCGGCGCCUCAGGCUCGUCCCAUCCCCAGAGAUAGACAAGCACCGCAAGACUAGAGGGAUGUUGUGGUCUCCCUCGGCCUCAGUUUCUUCAUCUGUAAAAUGGGGGUGAUGAUAGCAGGCCCGCCUGGGCGCUCAGCAGAUGCCAGGGGUGCCGCAGACCCAGUCUGCUGAUUCUCUCACCUGAGCCAGGAGUCAGAAGAGGCGGGCUCUAGUCCCAGCCAGGAAUUGUCGCUUUCUCUCUUAGAGCUGGUCUCCCCAUCUGUGAACUGGGGCUAAGGACUCCUGCCCUCUGACCUCUGGGGGUGUCGGUGACAGUGCUCGGUGAACUGCACCUGUUGUAGGAGGUCAGAGAGAACGUGCGGCUUCUUGAGCCCACUGCUUUCUCCCCUCCAGGCCUUUGCCUGGUCUGUGGCCUCUGCCUGGAACUCCUUCCCUCCCUCUGAUUCCAGCCCUUCCCUUCAGGGCCUCUUCCUCUGGGAAGCCCUCCCUGACUCCUCUGCAGGCCCUUUCCUGCUGGCCCCGGCUGUCUCACCUCCUACUCAGGCCCCGAUUAUCUGCCUUGCAUGCAGGACUGUGAGCCCUGUGAGGGCAGGGCCCCACGCCUGGCAAGGCCCUGGCCCAGGGCCCCUCGGGAAGGGAGACAGCCCGGUCCCUGAUGCACGGCCUACCCUGUGGCCUGGGGAGCCAGGAGGAUGUGGGAACCACCUUGUGCUUUGCUGCGCAGGCGUGGGGCAAGCGGUGGCCUUGGUUGGUGAGGAGCUGUCUUUCCCCAGUGCAUCAGGGAACACCCGGCCCUGCCCUCUGAGCACUGACAGUCUAAGGUGAUGCCCAGGGGAGGCUGCCCCUGUGUGUGACUCCUAAGGAAGAGGGAGUUUCAGAGUGUGCCUGCCAGCACUGGGCUGGUGGGGUGGUGGGUGGAGCUGCUGUGUUGUACCAGGACCUAGAAAGCCCAGACCGAGGGACCAGAGACCCUGCUGGAGCUCCUCACUGGGGCGAGAUGCAAAGGGCAGUGGAAGGAAAUCACAAGAGUUCCCACUUGGGUGGCCUCGUGGUGAAUGCUUAUCUUGACCACUUAGAGCCCUUACCUCACUGAGUGCCCACAACCACUCGUGACUCCUCGAAGGCGUGCUAUUGUUAUCCAGGUUUUGCAGAUGAGGAAACUGAGGCACAGAGCAGUUAAGCAACAUGGCUGGUGAGGGCAGAGCCUGGCCUGCCCAAUGCCCCAUCCCCCACGGCCAGGCCCAGCAGCCCUGCCUCUCCGAGAGGAUGAAAUGAAGGAGGUGGAGGGAAGACACGCUGAUGCAGAGUCUCGAGAAGGCUUGUGUGUGUGGUGUGCAGAGGGACUCCCCUUUGGGGUGUAUUUGAGAGAUUUCUGGAAGAUUUAAACUGCUUUUCAAGGAUUUGAGGGUGUCACACUGGUGUUUCUUUUGAAUGUGACAUGGUGAUGAGACUGGGCCCGGUUUUAUUCAGGUUACAGUAAUAAUAGCAGCAACAAAAGCAGCUGUCCCUGACCGCAUGCCCGCCCCGAGCUCGGUGCUGGGCUCAGCCUUGACGUGGCUGCACCCUCGGAGCCUCCCCACCAGCCUGGGCUAGAGAUGCUUCUCCUCUCUGUGUUCUUUCUUUCCAGCGGGUCUCAGAAUUGGUUUGUCUCCACAUUUGCUGCCUCCCGUUAGGCAGUGAGGUUGGUGAAGGCUCCACUCUGGUCUCCCCCAGGCAUUGCUGAGUCCUCGGCACCCAGCACCUGCUCCACAGAGAGCACCUGGACAGUAAAGCUUUGCUGGACACAUUUCAGAUGAAGAGACAGAAGGUCAGGGAGGUCGCACAGCUUGCCAGGAGAGAACCCCAGGUUUCUGUGGCUCCAGAGCCCAGAUUCUAGUCACCACCUCUCACAGCUGCUUCAGAGACCCUCUCUGAGACCCCUGAAGAAAGACACAGAGCACGAAUCCCCCCACCCCACCCCCACCCAGGGUUCUCAGGCCUUGUACUAAAACCUGAGAGGCUUCUGAACGGACCCUGCCCUCUCCUCACCUUUUCCUUGCUUCCUGGGAAAUCAGAGGAGAGUUGGCCAGAGUUAGCUCCGUCUUGGGCAGGUCACACUCUCCCGGAGUUGCCCGGUUUUUUCGUGUGAUCUGAUUCAAUUUUCCUUCCUUGUCACAUUGGGUCCCACUCAGAGAAAUCUUUCAAGUGGAUGUGCCUUUACUAUGUGACCAUGACCCAGUUAAUUCAUAUGUGCAGUUGAUCACUGUUGCUUAUCUCUGUGAUAGUGCCCCUCGUUCUGGGGCUUUAAGCAAACGUCCCAGAGAGGCCAAGGGCUAUAAACCCAAGAUCCUAAUGGUUAAGAGCUUGGUUCUGCCACUGAGUGACUUUGGGGACCUCACUUGACCUCUCUGAGCCUUGGCUUCCUCAUCUGUAAAAUGGGCAUGCAUGGGAAGUAUCUAUCUCGAUUCCUGGCUAUAGGUGGGGAGAAGGAAGUCAAGCUUUCUCUUAAAAAAGAAAACAAACCACAUUUUGCACAAAUAAUAUAUGAUUUUUAUCCCUAUACUUUAAGAAAUGUUGGUUUAAAGAAAGCCUGUCUGGACACCAACCAGUACCUGAGCGCCCGCCACAUACCCAGUGUUGCAAUCAGCCCUGGGAAGGAUGGUGAUCCCCCGCUUGUGGGCGUGUCCUGCACGCUAGGCAUGGUGAGAAACUCAGUGAGAAACCAAUGAGCCUGGCUUUGGCCCCGGCCCCCUGUUUUGCUGAUGAACAGAGUGAAGUCCUGCUUCCAGCAGGGGCUCAGCGUGGUGGGGAAGACACCCCAUAGGGACUUUGGGUCCUGCCUGCAGGGUACCCAGUGAGCUCUCAGGGUGCAAAGAUGAACCAGAGGUGGUUCCUGCCCUGGAGGAGGUAUGUCUCCUAGGAGAUGGGGACACAUCCACAGAGCAGAGACAACACGUGGUGUAGUUGAUCCACACCCUAAAGAGUCACUGGAAAGAUCCCCACGGACCUUGACUUACAAAAGUCCCCUCAAGCCAGCCCUGAAGGUCUAGUGGCUAAAGUUUGGCUCUCUCACGCCUGCACCCUGGGUUCAUUUCCGUGGCGUGGAACCACACCACCGUCUGUUAGUUGCCAUGCUGUGGUAGUGGCUCACACAGAGAACUAGAAGGAUUUACAACUACGAUACACAGCCAUACUGGGGGGCUUUGGGGAGAAGAAGAAAAAAAAGAAAAGAGGAAGACAGGAAGAUGGGCAACAGAUGUUAGCACCAGAAGAAUCCUUCCGCGCAUAAAAAAGAUGUCCCCUCCUUGGUGUGUCGACAUCAGAGUUCUAGGCCCUUUACUGUGGCUGAUGGAUGGUGCGUUUUUUAUAUCUCACAGUGGACUCCUCUUGAGCUGUAUUUGAAAUCUAGUUGGCUUGACCUUCAUUGUCCUUGACCUUCACCCGUUCUAGUCCACGGUCGUGGGGCCUCUGGACCAGGGUGUCCAGCUCCUGCUACUCAGACACAUGAGACUCAUUUUUAAGAAGCGACUGUGCUUCUCCUCCCCAAUCCUGUCCCCAAAGGUGACUUCUAGUCCCGGAUGGGAGGACACUUUCCAGUGGUCAUGAGCUCUGGGGUCCUCCCCACCAACGAGAUGUCUCCAGAUGGACGAAGCGUGUCCAGGAGUGAAGUUGGAAGUUGGUUGUGAGCCCCCGGCAUCCAUCAGCCUUCCGAGGCCUGGCCUUGAGCCUCUGCACGCUCCUGACCAAAAGCUCCACGGCCUCAAACCUCCUGUGGGUGUGGGGUGGAGGGGGGAGUGGUGGAGAUGGGAGGGGUGGAGGGGAGGGUCUGGCUAGAAGGAGCAAGAGAAGCCGCACCCCAGCCCCACGUGUGCACUCGGACGUGCCUGAAGUCGAAGGAAGGUGCAGAGCGGAGUGGAGGCCGCAGGGAGAGGUCCACGCCCCGUCUCAGUGCAGGUUCCUACAAGAAAUUCAAGCAUGGCUGUGGUUGGUUUCCACUCGGCUUCGCUGAAAACCUGCAAACAAGAGCCCACACGUCGUCCUCAAGGUCAGCUUUCGUGGAGAAGGUGGUACAAGGAGCAGCUAGUGAAGACCUGGGCUGUGUGCCCGGCCAGCCACCCCCCCUUUGCCUCCCAGGGCGGUGCAGGCACCAGGCUUUGUGGGGGUGGGGAAGUACUUACUUCAUUUUAAAGAAAGUAUAAGAAGCAGUUGCCGCCACUGAAAAAUAAUGGAGACAAAUGCCCUCCCUUCAGGAACUCCCAUUUCUAAGCUAAUUCCUCUCUACGUUCCCACCAGAAAAGCCCCUCCUGCUGUUACUUGCCCCAAGGCCCAUGUUUGGCCAACAAACAAACUGUGUGUGUGAAGUAAUGUAAGCUUUCUCAUUUGGGGUUAGUCAAGGACAACGAUGAUGCUUGCUCAGCUGCCAUCAGCCCCAGAGAUUCUGAACGGGCACAGUGGGUGGAGAUAAUCCCAGUUAGAGCGAAGAAGCCUGAUGUCGCAGGUAGCCCGUGGUGGCCUGGCCAGCAGUAAAGCUCCAGGACACAGCUCGAUGCAGCUUGGAGGUCAUGCUGCCACUCAGAUGAGAAGCUCCGGAUCACAGGGAGCUUCUCCCACCUGAAGGCAAAGGCCCCCAGCCCUGGCUGGCUGCUCAAUCAAGCCUAGAGUUUCAGAGAGGAUGCCAGCUCUCUUCAGGCUGGGCACACCUGCCCCCCACCCCCACCCCAGCACUGCCCCCUGCCCUGCGUGUCCUGGGGACCUGGUCACCUCCAUUCCUUGCCUCCAGGAGCGUGGAGUGAAUAAUGAAGGCCAGACUCAGCGGCUUCUGGAAAGACCACCCUUCCUCCUUCUGGUUCCCUUCAAGGAAGGACCUUCAUGGCCCCCAAGUACCACAAAUCCUAGGCUGAGCCUGGGCACAGAGCGGAUUUCCCUCUCUGGGCACACACCUAUGGGGGGCGGGGGUGGGGAGCAGCAUUCCCCUCCGCUGCAGAAGGAGCUCCAUCUAUGUUGGCAACCCGAUUCGAAUCCCGGUUCCACCACCUUCAAGCUUCGUGGCUGCAGCACCUCUUUCUGAGCCUCAGUUUCCCCAUCUGGAGAGUGGAAUUCAGAGUGGGGGGGGUGGAGCGGGCAGCAUGGUCUGGUUCUGCCGAGGCUCCGGGCCACUUGCCCUUCCUGGUCCCACAGAUGUUCAGCCCAUUCGGGGCAUGCUCGGGUGCCCCCCUCCCGGCCCUGGGCUUUGCCUGAGCUGCAAAGGAUGAUGGGAUGGGAGCCCUCAGAGGUGCCGCCUUGGCCGCAUCUCGCUGGAACCACAGUGGAGCUCCUGGGCCAUGUCUGGAGGGCGGGGUAGGUGAUCCUCGUGGGCUGGAAGCUCCUGUGAGAAUACCCCAUUUACAGGUGAGGGGGCUCGCAGGGGGAGUGGCCGGCCAAGCCCUGCGACAUAGAGAGAUUUUAACCUGGAGAACCACGCCAGUAACACCAAGGGCCCUCCUACACUCUGCUCUGCCCCCAUUUACCUGAGUCCUUACUGCGUGCCAGGCAAUCACUGACCUACUUUAAUCCAACAACAGCCUAAGAGGAGGGUAUAUUGAUCCCCAAUUUUUAGGAAACAGAGAGGUUGAUGCACUUGCUCAAGGUCACACAGUUUGCAAAGAGUGGAACCUGACUUUGAACUCAGGCCACCUGCCUCCAGAGCCUGUGCUCUUGGCCAAUCUCCUCUGCCCCCGGCUUGGGAUCCAAGCUCUGUAGAGAGGGCCGGGGCCACCUGGGGUUAGCCGCUUAAGCCCCAGAGGCCCAGAGUGAGGGAAAAAUCUCCAGCACCCCGCGGGUCCGCGAGGGCUGUGCGGUCAUCACUACCACCGGGUGCAGGGAGCUCAGAGGGGCCAAGCCUCUGACUCUAGGGAGCGCAGCCGGCUCCGCGCCCCCUGGCUCCCUGUCCAGGGGCUCCACAGAGGCCGUGGUCGGAAGGACCCCCAAGCCAGCUGGGUCCCCUGACAGACGGACAGAGGACCUCUCUCCACACGCAGCCUCCCGCCCCGGGGAUGCGGGCAGCGCGGCCUGCCACCUCCUCCGGAGCAGGUUUCCUUUAAGACGGCAGAAGAUUGAUUUCCUGGCAGGCUGCGCGCGAGGAGCGUCCACGCGGUUUGCAUGUCUGCAUUUUUACGGCUCCGUUUAAUAUGUAUGCAAAUACCCGCCGCCGCCGCCGCCGCGCACGCGGCCGUCCCGGCCCGGCGCUGGGAGGCCUGAUAGAUGGGGCGGGACGGAGACAAAUGACGGGCUUUUCUAAUUUCUUUCUCUUUUCCGGAGGCUGGGGAGAGGGGGGCUCAAGACUGGAAACCACAGAGGAGAUUUAAAUAUAUGCAAAAUUGUUGUGGGUUGGGGCGGGGUCUGGAAACCUGAGCCGGGAGGAGAGCAUUCCGUGUUUUCCUCGGUGGCAGUCGCGCAGGAGGUGGCCCAGCCCCCUGAGACCCCUGUCACCUCCGGCGGAGGGAGCGGCUUUGCUCCGGAGAAGCCGACUGCUUCCUCGGGAAGCGCAGCCUCAGCGCAGAAAGAAGGAAAAUGCGGGUUCUUUUCGGCCCCAUCCGCCAGGAGGCCGCUGCGUGUGUCCAUCGCACCCCCACUUAUUUCGUUGGGCUUCCAGAGCUUAUAACUUUAUAGGUGUGAUGUCACUUAACUCUCACGGUUGCCCUAGGAGGUACAUCACACCCAUUGUACAGAUAGGGAAACUGAGGCUCGCAAGAGUAAGGUCCUUGGGGAGAGUUGCAGAGGGAGGUGGGGGGAUGCACUCCCAGAACCGCAGCCCUCAGCCAUCUCCAGCUCUGUGGGGUGUGCUCCCAGCUAUGGGGGGUGGGGCGGGCGCGGAAUGUGCCCAGACUAACCCCCAACACACAACCCAUGCUCCCCCAUCCCACCUGCCCCACCUGCCCCCACCUGCCUGACUCAGACUGAGCCUGCAUCACAUAAGCCCGCAUCAGAUGGGGCCUGAGACUGAGCCCCAAAUUUUCAAAAUAUUAUUUAGGCCUAAAAUUUGAGGUGUAGUUUUAAUGGAAUCUUUCCUAAUUUCUGAGGAUUUCAGGUGACGGACGGGGUAGCUGGGGGCAGCCUGGAGAGUCCUGUGAGGACGGAAACGUUUCACAGAGGGGGCGCCAGCCUAGAGAGGGGGCUUCUGGAGCAGACAGCUCAGGCCCUCUGGGGACCCGAGUCCACGUUUGUGUGGAGUGUAUGUGUCAGUGUGUGUGUGAGGCUGGGAUUGUGUGUCCGUGCACACACGUGUGUGUCAGUGAGCGUGUGCAUCGAGGUGGCAGCAGCUGAGACCGCCAUACUGGCAGCUGGCAUGCGAAUUUCCCUGCGGGCUCCCAUCCCCGUGGGGUUUGGGCCUCCUGUCUCCCCCACCCCCACCCGAACCUGCUCCCCUCUCCAGGGAAGCCUGUGCUGCUUCAGCUGCAGAACGGGGGUAGGACGGGGGCUGGGGACUUGAGAAGACUGAGGCACCCCUAAAGGUCUGCAGCCAUGAGGAGGACUUGGUUAUGGGGGAUGGGGUGUAGCCUGUUGCCUGAGAACUCUGGGCAGGAAACGAGGGGCGCGCAGCUCCCCCAGGAAGCUCUCCCUGUGUGUACAUGUGUGUGCAUGUGUGCAUGAGUGUGGCGAUCCAGACUAGCAUAUGUCCAUUCAUAAAAUGCUCCUCCUCCCCACCCUCUCCCUCCCCCACCCCCACCCCUUCUCUCUCCCACCUCCACCCUCACCCCUCCUGCCUCUCCCACCCCUACCCUUCUUCCCAUCUCUCAGGUUCACCCCGCCCUGGAGUGCCAUGAGCCAUCUCUCCUGGAGUCUCCCCCCUCCCUGCCCUCCUCCCCCCUUCCCUGCCCCUUCCCCCGACUCCCCACCUCUCCCCUCCCACAUAGGUGUUUGUUUGUUUCCUUCUGUCCACUGUCGUCUCCCCCACAGGAAUGUGAGCCCCAUGAGAACCUUGAAAUGGGGUGCUCAGCACCCCUCUGAUGUCUGGGAGCAUCUCGGGACCCCUCCCCUGCCCAGGCCGAGCUCCUUCUCCAGGCUCAGGUCUUCUCUGGUGGGGCUCCUGCACCCCGGUGUCCAUGGAGCCCACCCAGACAGGGACCCAAGUCCCAUGCCCUCCCUCGCCUCGCCUACGUCUUGGGACAGUCCCCCUUCUUCAGGCCUCCUCAGGGUGUCCCCUUCCUGAGCUGGCCUGAGCCACCAUCCCGGCACCCACAGUGCUGAGAGCGAUUGUCACUGGAGCCUAUUGGCGUCAGCACGGCAAGAAAGUCCUUUCCAUGAGAACCGCUGUGAGUGGACAUCAACGCGGCCCCUCUGAACCCCUGCUCCCCUGGGGGCCUCUGAAGCGUCCUGUAAAGCCAGCCCCGCCACCCAGAGGCCCGAGGGUGGUGAGCCCAGGGGAGAGUGGAGCCCUGGGUCUCCCUGGAAGUGAUGACUGUGUAAUUCUUGUUCUCACCUGCCCCUGCUGCAGGAGGGCGGCACUGGGUCUGCGCUGGGCCUCCCGCACCCCGGCCGGCCGCACACACAUUCGCUCUGCAAAUAGCUGUCGAAACAGACAAGUGGCAGGUGGCGGCCUCCACAAAGGCAUGGGCUUUGUGACAUAUCUGGCGGGGACUCCAGUCGGUGGCCCCCUUGGAGUCUGCACCUUCGCUCCCUAGCUGGUUGGGGGCAAGGGGGCUGCUGUGUGUGGACUGGCUGAGUCAGGACCCAGCCCUGGGCCCGGGGCCACCACGGCUCUCGCUGAUCUUGCUGACGGGGCUGAAAAUGCGUCUGCGCGGCCCUCUGCAACCUGCCAUUACUCACGGUCGGUGUUUAGCCCCAAGCCAGGGGUGACCGGCGGACCGGCAGGAGGCUCGGUGUGUGCUGAAGGAGGGACGGCCCGAGGCUGGGCUGCGAGAGGCACAGCGGGAACCGUGGGCAGCUGCUCAGAGCGCCGUGACCAUGUUUUUCUGAGCUGAAAAAUUAGGACACGGGAGGUAGCUGAGGGUUUUCUCAGAUUUGUUCAUUCAAUGCGUGGAAAAGUCUUACAGAGGUAUGAAAGUUGAAGCUUAUUUGGUUAUAUAAGUAAUGGAUUGUCUUUGUUGAAAAGAAUCUGAGUUUCCAAAAUCAGGGAGAUUCUGGGAAUCAGUCAGUCAACAUGACUCACAUUCUGGGGGCACCCGGGUCAGCCCUGUCCUUGGUCCUUGCACUGUGACAGGGAGUGUGAACCUGGCCUCACAGAGCUCUUGUGGGGAGGCUGACGUUGCUCCAAUAAUUUCACAAUUCAGUACUGUGAGCACCUGUAGGCACCGUUCGAGCAUUUAGGGCUGUGAGGGCCCAGGGCACCCAUGUGGACCGGGGCUGGGAUGUCCAGGAAGAAGCGCAUUUCAGGCAGGAGGAAGAGCAUGUGCAGAGGGCCUGUGGCAGAAAAAAGUGUUGGGUGUUUGCGGAACAGGAGGCAGCCCAGGUGACUGGAAUGUGACCAGUGAGGGAAGAGGAGGUUGGACAUGUCAGCAGGGGCCAGUCCAGACAGUGCCCACGAGCCCAUAAGAGUGUGGUAGACUUUUUCCUGCCAGCAAUGGGGAGCCAUGGACUGUUUGACACAGGCGUGACCUGGUCAUGCUUCUUGAUGUUGAUGAGAAGGAGGAGGAUGAUGAUGUUGGUGAUUAUACGCAGUGCUUCGUGAGCGCUGACCAUGCGCCAAGCACCAUUUCAGCCGUUUUACAGAUGAGAAAACGGGGGGGUUGGGAGGGGAAGUGACUUAUCUAAGGCCACACAGCUGGUGAACGGCAAAGAUGGAACUCGGACUGAGUCUGUCUGGAUCCUAAGUCCCUGCUCGCAUCCCACACACAAAGCUGCCCUUGUCCGGAAGUGGAAGGCCAGGGGGCGUGCAGAUCACCCCACUUCCUGCUGCGCUGUGGGGCCGCGUCCUCUCUGCUCGGUGUCCCAGGCCUGGGUGGGAACUGACAGUCACAGGGUCAGCUUGGGCUGGAAAGGCCCAGCUCAGUUCCUCCUCAGGCCCAGCGGGGGAAGUUGGGCUUGCAACAUCCCACGGCAGCUGAGGUUCUGGAGAAGUUGGGAUCCCAGCCUGUCCGCUGGGGCACGGGUCACACUGCAGCCCCGGGAGCACAGGCCCAGUCACCUGUUUGGGAGCCGAGGACUUUGAGCUGCGGCUACAGCAUCCCUCCCGAGUAGCACAGCACCCCGGCCCCUGCUCCCUCCCGUGGAAACAGACCUAGGUGUCUGCACCACUCUAGACUCACCGGUGGCAUUUAAAAAAUCCUGCUUCCCUUGUUGAUCAUCAGGGAAACGCAAACCAAAACCACAGUGAGACCCCACCUCGCACCUGUUAGGAUGGCUACUGUCAAAACCCAGAAAGUAACAAGUGUUGGCGAGGAUGUGGAGAAAUUGGGAGCUCGUACAGUGUUGGUGGGAAUGUCAAAUGGUGCAGCCGCUACGGAAAACAGUAUGGAGUUUCUCCAAAAAAUUAAAAAUAGAAUCACCAUAUGAUCCAGCAAUUCCACUUUUGGGUAUGUAUCCAAAAGAAUUGAAAGCUAUAUGCGCGCCCGUGUUCACUGCAGCAUCAUUCACAAUAGCCCAAAGGGGGGGAGUCACCCAACAGUCCAUCAACAGAUGAAGGGACCAACAAAACGUGGUGUAGAGUAUACAUUACAGCGGAGUACCAGUCAGCCUCAAAAAGGAAGGAAAUUCUGACACUCGCUUCAGGACGGGUGAACCUUGAGGACACGUGCUAAGUGAAAUAAGCCCGACACAAAAGGACAAAUACUGUAUGAUUCCACUUAUAUUAGGUACUCAGAAUGGGCAAACUCACAGAGAGGAGAACAAAGGAGAAGGUUGGAUGCCAAGACCUGGGCUGUGAGGGCGGGGGGGAGGGGCAGGAUGGAGAGCUUUGUUUAAUGGGUACAGAGUUUCUCAAGAUAAAAAGAGUUCUGGAAGGGCUGGCCCCACAGCGUAGUGCUUAAGUCCGUGUGCUCCGUUCUGCGGCUGGGGUUCCUGGGUUCAGAUCCCGGAUGUGGACCUGGCACCGUUCAUUAAGCCAUGCUGUGUUGGCAUCCCACAUAAAAUAGAGGAAGAUGGGCACAGAUGUUAGCUCAGCGACAAUCUUCCUCGAGCAAAAAGAGGAAGAUUGGCAACAGAAGUUAGCUCAGGGCCAGUCUUCCUCACACACACAGAAAGAGUUCUGGAGACGGAUGGUGGUGAUGGUUGCACAAGAAUGUGACUGUACGUUAUGCCACUGAACUGUACGCUUAAAAAUGGUUACGAUGGCAAAUUUAAAAAAAAUCGUAUUCUAAGUUCUCUCAAGUUGUCAACAGUGGGCUUUCUUUUAAGUUGCAUUUACAAGAAAUAAAUUAAAAUAUCAGAUGGGAGUUGUCAUUAGAGCAGUUAAGAAUCACAGAUGCCGUAUUCCCGGGCAAGUGUCCUCCCCUCCCGGAGCCUGAGUUUCCUCACGGGGUAAUGGGGAUGAUGAUGGUGCCUCCCUCUGGGGCCACUGCGAGGAUUCCAUGAUGCCUGCAAGGUGGUCCAGCGGAGGCCGGCGUCCAGGAAGCACUCAGCACCCAGCAGUCCUUAGUCCUGGCAGAUAUGCCCCAGGCGUGUGGGGUUUGGGAACAGGAGCAGCACAGGCCCUAGUCAGAGGAGAAAAGACCCCUUGCCUGACAGUACACCUGGGGAAACUGAGGCCUGGAGGAGUCAAGAGACUUGUCCAAGGUCUCUGGGCUUCCCUUGAACCAGAAUGUGGUUUUCCACGUCUGUAUCGGUGAGCAAGGCUCGGUUGUGCUGCGUAACGAGCGAGCCCCACAUCGCAGUGUCUCACACAGCACAAGUCUGUUCUGCAUCCAGCAAAGUCUGCCGUGGGUCCAGGAGCUUCUCCAGGGCAACUGCCCUCCACGCGAAGGCCCAGGGAUCCAGGCUGCCUCCCGCUGGUGGCGCCUCCAUCUCUGGGUCCCCGAGGCAGGGAAAGAGCAUCACGUCCCUGCCUCCCACACUCCACUGGCCAGCACCAGUCACAUGGCUUCACCCCACGCCUGAGACGGAGAGGAGAACCAUGGGUAAGCCCCGGAAGUUUCUUCUCACCAUGCGAGUGGGACGAAGGCCAGUGGACAGCUGUCUCCAGGACAUGCUCACAGUGAACUGAGUCAGAGAGAAAAGGGUUUGAGGCUGGAAUGACUCCCCCUCCUACCCAAGCCCCCCGCUCCUUCCCAGAGCAGCCACGGUGAGCCGCGCUAACGGCCGGUUUACAAGCAGGGGUGUUGACGUGCCUUGUGGACAUACAGUUGUUCUCGGCCACUCCUUGAAGAAGCCGGCGGGGGUCUGUCCAGCCUCUUGCUCUCCCACCUGGCGGUGCCUCCACCUGUACGUAAUCAGUGCCCCCGAUGGGUGUCCAGGCCGUUUGCAAAGUUCUGCUAUUAUAAACAGUGAUGCAAUGAAUUUCCUGCACGUUUUCCCUUGUCACCCAUGUAAGUGUUUCUGUGGUGUAAAUUCCUAAAAAUGGAAUCGCUUGGUCAGAGGGCAGGUGCAGCGAGCAGUCUGACAGCUUUCCAGCGGCAGGGGCUGCUCCAGGGUCAGAAGGAGCUUUUAAGAAGUGUUGCUAAUGGAGCCGAGUGAGUUUCGGGGACCAGGGUGAGUCCUCCGCCCCAGGGGGUUUCCAGAUGGGACACCAAAGAGGGGAAGCAGGAAGAGGGAUGCUCUCGCCAUCUCGACUCUGAUGCUAGAUCUCCUCUCCUUCUCAGGACCUGCCACUCUUGCUGUGCCCAUUUUAUAGAUAGCAAACCCCGAGUUCCAGAGAGGUUGAUUCACUUGCCUGAAGCUGCCCAGCAAGCAGCGUUUGAACCCCGGUCCCAGCCUGGGUGGAGUCCUCUUGGGUUCCAGGAUCCCAGCUCCCUGCUGGACACCUCACGGAUCCUUUCUUUACUGGUCCCUCUCAAAGGCUCUCAUGUUCCCCCCAGAGCUUUCUUUUGGCGAGUUUCUGAAACUCGUCUUCCCUUCCUCGCGUCUAGUGCUUCGGCUCCUCCAGUGGCAGAACCAUCCGCCUGUUACUUUUCUCCUUUGUUGUUUUCAUCUCUGCUCCAUCUCUUUGCAAGAGCAUCUCGGUUUUUGACCACCGUUAGUCUCAUUGAUUUUCAAAUUUUCUUUCUUUUUGGGGUAACGUCCCUUUUGUUCCUGGAAAAAGACGAUACACCUUCAUUGUAAAAUAAAUAAAUAAAUUCAAGCAACACUGGAAACCACAAGCAAGAAGAUGAAAAUCACCAACGCCCCUCACCCACAGAUGACUAUGGUUAACGUUUGGUUGCCUGUCCUUCUGCAGAUUCUAAACAUUUAAUGUUUUGAGCCAGCCCUGACAGCCUAGUGGUUAAAGUUCAGCACACUCUGCUUUGGUGGCCCCAGUUCGGUUCCCGGGUGCCAAACCACACCACUUGUCUGUCAGUAGCCAUGCUGUGGCGGUGGCUGACACUGAAGAACCAGAGAGACUUACAGCUAUCCACAACUAUGUACCGGGGCUUUGAGGGGGUGGAGAGGAAGAAAAAAGGAGGAAGAUUGGCAACAGAUGUUAGCUUAGGGCAAAUCUUCUCCUGCAGAAAAAUAAAAAAUAAAUAAGUAAUUUAGAAUUUUAUUCUAAACAUUUCUAACCACCCACUCUAAUGGUAAUGAUAAGGAAAAUCUCUACCUUUCUCCCUAAAGGUGGGGUGUAUGAAUCACCAGACAUGAGUUCCCUCCCCUCCAGUGCCAUCACUGCCCACACCUUUGCCUGGGCCUCUGCUGCUGCUUCUGCUCCCAGGUUGGAAGCUGCUGUUCCAGCUCCAGGGAGCAGACCCUGCAGGGCCGGCACCAGCUAACUGGUGAAAAUGGUUUCCCCACCUCCAAAGAGAUUCCACCCACUCGCUCACACUCAGGGAGCAGGAAUCUCACCCCUCACCUGCCGGACACCGAGAGGCUGAAACCCAGGCCGGUGUGUGUCUCCAGCUUGUGGAAAGCCUGCAGCCACUCUUCCUGCACAAGGGAUCACACGUCUGCCCACCUCUCCCAGCCGCCAGCCCCCUCCGCUCCUGCAUCUCCCGCCUGGAAUGCUGUGCCAGCCUCUUCCCGGUGCCCACCCGGCCUCCAGGAUGACCCCUGACCACCAGUGCUCCACGCAGGGCCCCGUGGGCCUGGGGAAGUGUCAGCCCGGCUCACCACGCCCCAGUAACUCCCGUCGCCCUGACCAAGUCUAUUUCUUCCCUCAGCUUUGAAGGCUCCGGGACCAGGUUCCUGCCACCCCUGCAGCCUCCUGCCUCUCCACCCCCCACCCCUGCUCUAGCCAGACUGGCUACUUUCCAGGCCUCGGUGCCCUUGCACACACUGUCCAGAGGCCUGGAAUGUUCUCUCUUAUCAUCACAUCGGCUGUUCAUUCUUUAGAACUCAGCGGAGGCUUCCCCUCCUCUAGAGAGCUGCCGCGGCCCCUGUGGCCAUGGUCUGUUUACUUGUCUGAUGCCCCCACUAGAUUGUCCCUAAUCCUCUAGCCCAAGGCCUGGCCGCCAGCUGGAGUCACCACUGCUGGUGGAAGGAUGGCUCAGUCCCACCCUCUCCCCUUCCCGCCCUGCCCCCAGCCCCGCUCCCCACUCCUUCCCUGGGGCUCAUUCUCCUUUCCCGACCUCAUUGCUCUCUGCAGUGCAGCACUGUGCUAAGAGCAGCCAUGCUGAAGUCACACACACCUGAGCCCUCACCCCAGCUGUGCCACCUCGUGGUGCUGAACCUCAGUCCUCCCGUCUGCAGAACGGGGAGAACAUAGCACGACCGGCCUAGAGCUGUCGUAAGGGUUAAAUGAAGAGCGUUUGUCACGUCCUUGGACAUCACAGGACUUCAGUAAAUGUUAACUCUUCUUGUUCUGCUGCUGUUGUGUGUUAUCCAUCUGGCCUAUUAGCAUCUCCUCCGAGCGCAUGUCUGGGUCUCCUGUCAACGCAGCUCUCUGCUCCAAGCUGCCCACAACUUGAAUCAUUUCAUCUUCACAGAGAACACUCAAUGGCUCCCCAGUGCCUCUCCUGGGACAUAGAAACUCCAGCUAAUUUUCAAAGCUUUUCUGGAUUUCCUGGUGAGACCACCCUGACUAGUGGCCAAAGACCUUCAAGGAGGAAGGGGCUUCCUCCCAGCAGGCCCCUCAACCCCUG
This 16844-nucleotide long non-coding RNA is filed under the name Equus caballus (horse). RNAcentral describes it as "lncRNA (ENSECAG00000057265.1)". Lineage: Eukaryota; Metazoa; Chordata; Mammalia; Perissodactyla; Equidae. The record is from RNAcentral.